Molecule: long non-coding RNA, 1117 nt
Organism: Solanum pennellii
Lineage: Eukaryota; Viridiplantae; Streptophyta; Magnoliopsida; Solanales; Solanaceae
Exons: 2
Source: RefSeq, a predicted model, not a curated record
AUCAAACAACCCGUUCCUCUUCCCCAUAAACCCUUUCAAAUCAAACAACCCGUUCCUCUUCCCCAUAAUCCCUUUCUCUUCUCACAAUUAAUCUUUUUCUCUCUCCCUCCUCAAAGAAAUUCAUCUUCUUUCUAAAAUCCUAAAUGGCACCAUCAUCAAAUCUUCAUCUGGCCCUUAUUCCAAUUGAUAACUCAGAAAAUCUCUUAGAGUUACCGGCAGUUAUGUUCAUCGACCACCAAGGAAUAACCCAUUUUUCUUACCCAUUAAUGGAGGACGCCCUAAGUAAGGGGGAAGAGAACAGAGUUUAGGGAAAAUUUGAUUGCACAACGUAAGGGGGAAUCUGGAAAACUGAGAGGCCAUGGGUUGAGUGUGGAAUCGGAAAAACGAAGCAGCCAUGGGUUGUGUGAAGAAUCAAUGGAGGGAACACCUAGUUUAUCAAAGAACAUGUUCUUCUCUCGUCUAAAGAUGAUGAUAUUCCUAUCAUCAAAAUGGUUCCCAAGAAAGUUCAUUCACUCCUCCGUCAUCAAAGAGCUAUUGUUCAUCAUAAUAGUCUAUCUACACAAGGAACUCAAGCAACACUGAAAAUCGUCCAACAGUGACUUCAAGACAACGGUCUGUUACAAGUACUUGUAAAGCAGUGGCAUGAACAAACCAUUAAGGAUGUAAUUGGCGAUGUUGAUCUUGCUACUUUUCCUCCACUCUCAAGAGGCCCGAGUGCACAAAUGCAAAGAUUAAGAUCUUCAGUGACUGCUAAGGAUGAGGAAAUUGAGACCUUGAAAGCCUCUCACAUGACUGAGAUUGGACAGGUACACAUUGAAUAUGGCUGAAAGAUGGGUCGGUUGAAAUGUAAAAUUUCUAAGCUUAAAAAGAAACUUGCUAAGACUCAGAAGGCUUUGGAUGAUGAGCUUGCUUCUAACUCUACCCGUUUACAGCAAGUUUGUGGUCUUUUGGCAAAACCUACGUCUCCUUCUGUGUAAUCCUUAGUGAUAUUGGGCUAUGACUUGAUGUUUUGAUAUUUAGUUGUUUAUGCUUUGUUAGGCAUUUCUUUUGAUGGGACAAAUGGUUUGUUUGUAAUCUAUUUAUGAUGUAACUAAUGACUUAGUUGGUUUUUGGUGCU